RNAcentral lists this ribosomal RNA (419 nucleotides) under uncultured bacterium. RNAcentral's name for it is "bacterial SSU rRNA". It matches the Rfam family "Bacterial small subunit ribosomal RNA", at positions 60 to 520 of the family's 1533-position model. The record is from RNAcentral.
AGUCGACGGAGUGCUUUCGGGCACUGAGUGGCGGACGGGUGAGUAACGCGCGAGAAUCUGCCUUUAGGUCGGGGAUAACGGCUGGAAACGGUCGCUAAUACCGGAUGUGCCGGGAGGUGAGAGGUUAAACUGCCUGAAGAUGAGCUCGCGUCGGAUUAGCUAGUUGGUGGGGUAAGGGCCUACCAAGGCGACGAUCCGUAGCUGGUUUGAGAGGAUGACCAGCCACACUGGGACUGAGACACGGCCCAGACUCCUACGGGAGGCAGCAGUGGGGAAUUUUCCGCAAUGGGCGCAAGCCUGACGGAGCAACGCCGCGUGCGGGAGGAAGGCCUGUGGGUUGUAAACCGCUUUUCUCAAGGAAGAAUAGGUGACGGUACUUGAGGAAUCAGCAUCGGCUAACUCCGUGCCAGCAGCCGCGG